GGAGUGAGCCUGGGAAACUGGGUCUAAUACCGGAUAGGAGCCAUUUUUAGUGUGAUGGUUGGAAAGUUUUUUCGGUGUAGGAUGAGCUCGCGGCCUAUCAGCUUGUUGGUGGGGUAAUGGCCUACCAAGGCGGCGACGGGUAGUCGGCCUGAGAGGGUGGACGGCCACAUUGGGACUGAGAUACGGCCCAG
RNAcentral lists this ribosomal RNA (191 nucleotides) under uncultured Actinomycetales bacterium. Its description in RNAcentral is "partial 16S ribosomal RNA". It matches the Rfam family "Bacterial small subunit ribosomal RNA", at positions 140 to 334 of the family's 1533-position model. The record is from RNAcentral. Lineage: Bacteria; Bacillati; Actinomycetota; Actinomycetes; Actinomycetales.